This 837-nucleotide unclassified non-coding RNA is filed under the name uncultured Mycena. Its description in RNAcentral is "sequence contains ITS1, 5.8S rRNA gene and ITS2". The stretch from base 299 to 452 matches the Rfam family "5.8S ribosomal RNA". Lineage: Eukaryota; Fungi; Basidiomycota; Agaricomycetes; Agaricales; Tricholomataceae. The record is from RNAcentral.
AAGUCGUAACAAGGUUUCCGUAGGUGAACCUGCGGAAGGAUCAUUAUUGAACUAAGUCGGAUUCGAUGCUGGCCCUUAACCCGGGCAUGUGCUCGUCCUUCAUUUUUCUAACCUUCUUUAUGUGCACAUUUGUAUGCCCCUGAGUAACGAGCGCCUCUCGCAGCAAUGCGGUUUGCUUGGGACUGACGGCCUGGUCGUCUUUCCUGCAAUGCUCUCUGGGGGCUACGUUUUUAUAUACAAGUCGGUUAUAGAAUGUCUUUUAAUGACUGUUGCCUAGCGCAUGGUCUUAAACAAUUACAACUUUCAGCAACGGAUCUCUUGGCUCUCCCAUCGAUGAAGAACGCAGCGAAAUGCGAUAAGUAAUGUGAAUUGCAGAAUUCAGUGAAUCAUCGAAUCUUUGAACGCACCUUGCGCCCUUUGGUAUUCCGAAGGGCAUGCCUGUUUGAGUGUCAUUAAAUUAUCAACCUUGCUCGCUUUUACCGGCUUGAGCUGAGGCUUGGACGUGGGGGGUUUUUGCUGGCUUCCUUCAGUGGAUGGUCUGCUCCCCUUAAAUUCAUUAGCGGGAUCUCUUGUGGACCGUCACUUGGUGUGAUAAUUAUCUAUGCCGUUUGACCUUGAAGCAAAUUUAUGGGACCCUGCUUAUAACCGUCUCUUACCGGGACAAUUUAAUAACAUCUUGACCUCAAAUCAGUAGGACUACCCGCUGAACUUAAGCAUAUCAAUAAGCGGAGGAAAAGAAACUAACAAGGAUUCCCCUAGUAACUGCGAGUGAAGCGGGAAAAGCUCAAAUUUAAAAUCUGGCGGUCCUUGUGGCCGUCCGAGUUGUAAUUUAGAGAA